ACGCUCGACACCUACGAGAGGCAGCAGUCGGGAAUAUUGCGCAAUGGAGGAAACUCUGACGCAGUGACGCCGCGUGCAGGAAGAAGGUUUUCGGAUUGUAAACUGCUUUAGACAGGGAAGAAAGAAAUGACAGUACCUGUAGAAUAAGCUCCGGCUAACUACGUGCCAGCAGCCGACGGUAAUCUGAGGCGGGCGUGGACGAAGGGC
This 207-nucleotide ribosomal RNA is filed under the name uncultured bacterium. Its description in RNAcentral is "partial 16S ribosomal RNA". It matches the Rfam family "Bacterial small subunit ribosomal RNA", at positions 328 to 538 of the family's 1533-position model. The record is from RNAcentral.